Long non-coding RNA from Folsomia candida, 4256 nucleotides. RefSeq lists it as uncharacterized. The record is from RefSeq and is a predicted model, not a curated record. The transcript is spliced from 3 exons. Lineage: Eukaryota; Metazoa; Arthropoda; Collembola; Entomobryomorpha; Isotomidae.
CGUAAGAUCUGCAAAAAAAAGCCUCCACUUUUCACCCUCGUGCACUUGGGAUUUACGUCAGUGACGGAAAGAGGCAGGAUUGCAUAAGCACGAACGACCUUCUACAAAGGGCCGACCGGGAGUGGCUGGAUGGACAAAUGCAAAGGUACACACAAGCACAUCGCACAGCCAUCGCUAUGCAUGAGGCCCUGACGGUUCUCUUUGUACACAUGCAGAUGAGAAGAGGGGAGAACAAGGAGUAAGAGAGGUAGUGGAAAAGAGGGUAACUUCAAGUGACACGAAAAGCGGUCGUACUCGUUAUUGGAGGAACUCACCGCAAGUGGUUGCUGUAGUUGAGAGGAGAAAGUUAUUUCGCUUCUUGGGCGGAUGGAGAUUUCUUCCGGAGAAAGCGGCUUUCACGGGGCCUGACAUUUCCCAAGCACCAGCCCGUGAGUGACUCACCUAUCCACUCCUGCCUCCCCAUUUUGAAGUCAUCCACGGAAAAGUAGUGGAACUCGUAGAGAUAGAUGGGCGCCGAGGUGUGGUGAGAGAGCAGAUUCAUUUCCUUCACGCAAGGCGCCUUCAGCCCCACGUCAGAGAUGAACUGAAAAAAGGUCAGGUCAACAGUCGGACAACUUCAAAAUUUACUUGUCUAAAAAUGUCUUUGUACUCGGAACAUAAUUCCGGUUAUCUGGAAUUACCCCUUAAGCAGAUGAGACAUGAAAACCGGUUUGAGAACAGCUUGAACUGUUUCAUCAGAAAAAUUUGAAAUUCGGAGAUAACGCCACGAGACUCGCGUAUUUAUUUUUAUGCGGCCCAUCUGCUUUUAAUGAUCUUUAUGUGGGUGAAGGAAUAUAAGGAGUUGAACUCAGCGGACGGAUGGUGCACAAUCGGGCAGACAUACAUGCAUCAGUCGACAUGGGAAACCCCACGACCAGCGAAAGAGAGCACUACAUCCUCAUCCUUCAUUUAAUCAGAGCUGCCCUGUCUGAAAAACGGACACAUUGUUCACCACCACGUAAAAGUGAGAGCCUGCCAGGGACGACUACACGAGACUUGCGACGAAAUAAGCAGGAGGAGGAACAACAAUGGGCAACAGAAUGAACUGAAUGAUGGAUUGUCUCAUAAUGUAAUCCUUUCAAUCUUCUCUCUCGCCUCUCCUCCUCCUUCACGUCCACCGCAAAUAAUGCAGAUUUGCAAGUCCGCACUCCUGCCUUUGUGGGGAGGAGAGCAUCAUAAGCCACCCGACAAAAAACUAAGCCAGGAGGCUAUUAAGCCACUGCUAACAAAGUGAGUGAGUACAAAGAGGAGGCAAGAGCUCUGCUGCUUCCGUCAUCAUUAAAAAAGCUCCCUGUUACCAAGGGCUGAGAGAAAGCAGGAGCCACACUUUCGCUCCUUCCUUCCGUCCUCGUCGUCUCUGGGGACGCUUAGCUAGUCCUCCAUCACUGAAGGGAAACCUCCUUCUUAAGCCCAUGCAUUCCAGCCACUCACUCCAGCCGCCCAGAGUGACGCUUAUACUUUACUCCUCCAGGUUUCGAGAGGUGUGCUUAUUUCCCCCUCGACGAAUCCGUGGCACAUGCACCCGAUGAGUUCUCAAUAGCUGUCACUCAUUGUCUGCAAGAAAAGGAAAGAAAGGGAAACGUACGUCGGAGAUGGACGAGGUCUUUCCCAAAGUGUCGUUCUCUCCAAUCCCUGCACGGUACAUCUGCAAAAAAGAAAAAAUACUGCACUCCAACAACACAUUUGCACAUUCCCGAGCUUGAUUUGGCCCUAUCACAUCACCUAAUUUGCAUACGCCUCGUCCGUUUAUCUGGUUACGAGGGAUGCUACGAGACACUUUUAUUUAUUUAUUGUGGGCUAGUGACAAUCACAAACGAGUGACAAAUUGACACGGCUUAUUCAAGAAUUUGGGAAAAUACCUUUACGACAAAAGUCAGGAAUUACUUCAAGUUUUGGAAACCUCUGUGAUUCAAGAGUGACUUUAUAAAAAUGCCGAGAAAAAGGGUACAUUACAGCAAAUCCAAGUGACAUGGCUUUCUCCACUCUCGGAUUUCUUUGUAGAAAAUGUUAGGGUUGUGAGUUGAAUGGAAUUCAAGUUUGGUUUAGCUUUUAAAUUAGUAUUUAGCAAAAUGUAUCACACAAGUGUUUUUGGCAAAAUAAGUUACUGUACGUGUAUGAAACUGCAAUUAAGCCAUCUGCACGUGGAACUUGAGAAAUUGUCAGCCAGCGAAUGAAGAACUCUACUUGUUACUUACGUACUGCACUGUCACCGAGUGGAUCAUGGCAGCCUGACACAGAGGAAAGAUGACAUUAUAGACACAUCAGCCAACUCUAAGCAGAAUGACAAUUCCAAGUGGUGGGAAAAUGUGAUACCAUGUUUGCUUGGGUGACGGUGGGCAGAUUCUCGAGCAGGCUAACCACAUCAACCUGCACAAAUGAGCGGAGGUCUUUCGUCUUUGUCGUCGGACCAACUUCAAAACAAAACAAGGAAAGAGCACUAAUUAGUCGGAAAGUAUGCUCAUCAAAGCCGUUCAAAUCGUCCGUGAACUCACAUUUGGUGAACCAAAUGGUAACUUCGUCCCUCGUGAAGCCGGUGAGUAUGGGCACGGGUUGAAAGUCCUUGGUUCGGAUAAGCUGCUCGGGAUGAUCCUUCAGGAAUUUGCCUCCAUAAGGCCCGUCGACCACGGUGGCAAAGGCCAGACUGGAGAGAGUCAAUUAGUCAACGGUGUGACUUUCAUGAUGUCAUAGCUAAAUAUGCAUGCACAAAUUUAUAGCUUUGUUGUCCAGCUACGUGCGUCUGUACCUGAGCCCGUCCUCCAGUUUAGCGUGCUGUUGGGUGACACGAGAAAAGUGGGUUGAUUAGGAUCGCAGGCAGGGUGUACUAAAUAACAAACACUGUCACGUCCUUUCUCACCUUCAUGAUCAGUUGUGGAGAAAAGUUUCGGACGCAGUCGACCAAGUCAUGGGUGGGGCUGGUGGGGCACCCAAGUUUGGUCGCCAGAGCCUCCGCGUGUUUUCUGGGAUUCGCCUGGAUGGCCCAAGGUGCUCUGAAGGGACAGAGAAUAAUAACCACCCACAAUUAAAGCACCCAACAAUAAAUUGGCCCCAAGGCCUCGACCUGCACAAGUCCAACUGCAAGACAAUCCUUACCCCGAGCAGCCCGACUGCACCGUGACGCCCACAAACUUCCCUGCAAGGAAAGGAAACAAGACCUGUAAACAGGGCAGAAUGGCCACCAAGCACCCACGAGGAAGGAAAGGUAUGAAAUUCCAAAGGCAGCUUUCAUUUUAUGAGACUCAUCCGCAUUCCUCUUCCGCCUCCUCCUCUCCAUUUAUUAUCCUCACACACACAGAGAAGAUCACUAAUCCACUGCUGCUGCUGGACAACGGGCGAGCGAGCUUUACGUAAUAAACUGGACAGAGUGGAAUGUGUCCUAUUUAUAUAGAUUUUUAUACCCGUGGAGUCCGCACCGACGGAAUGAUGGGCAGGACAAGGGGCUCAUUUAGUUUAGCAGCAGCAGCAGCGUGGUUGGAGUAGGGGAGAAAGGAGAGUUGGAUUACUGGAGACGAGAGAGAGCUCAGGAUAAGAAAUGAGAUUAACGUCAUCCAGCUCAGACUUUCUCUCUCUCGCUCUCAUUAGUGAGCUGGAUAAUUACACGGUCAUUUGACACCACUAAUGGCAACAUAAUCCCAUUACGUCGUGUCCAACCAAGCAGCCAGCCCAUGAGCCGAGACGUACUUACUUCUCUUCACAUUAUCAUUCGAACCAAGGGAGACGACGACGACGACACUUUGACAUCAACUUCAAAAACUCGACUCAAGAAGAGAGUCAAAACUUGGGAAAAAACUUUACUUGCCUUUCGAAAGCCCUGAAAACAUGUGGAACAUGACGGACGCGGCGCCGGCACUGUUGCCCACCAACGUUACACGUCCCGGGUCUCCUCUAAAGUGAUGGAUAUGUUGGUGCACCCAGUCCAAGGCGAUCGCUGCAAAAGUAAACAUGACCUUAAUUUUGCUGACCAGAGUGUAGAAGAACUUGGGGGUCGGUCAGCCUACAAACCUUGAUCUAGCAGCCCAUAAUUUCCAGAGGCGGCCGCGUCCCCCGUGCUGAGAAAUCCUAACGGUCCGAGUCGAUAGUUGAAGGUGACGACGACGAGGUGCUGGCUGGAGGCGAUGACUUGUCCGGGGUACAGCCGCCCCGCAUUCAUGUAGUAGGACCCUGUGAAUUUACGGCUUUUAUCAUUAACCCACAAAUAAAUAGUCUUUUGAUAAACUGUA